RNA transcript from Solanum stenotomum, 2067 nucleotides. It is a transcript of the gene named replication factor C subunit 3-like, with no coding region annotated. Lineage: Eukaryota; Viridiplantae; Streptophyta; Magnoliopsida; Solanales; Solanaceae. The record is from RefSeq and is a predicted model, not a curated record. The transcript is spliced from 13 exons.
ACAAUACCAACGACCCGACCCGACCCCAUACUCGUCUUCUUCUUCUUCUUUACGCGAAAAUAAAAAACAAACCCAUAAUCACAGUACGCGUCUUCUUCUUUUCCUAUCUGCAAACCCGUAACCUAGCAGUCUAUCGAUGUCCCCUUUUCCCCGAUUUUGAAAUCUCUUCCCCUGUUUGGGUUUGAAAGGAGGAAAGAAAUUCAAAGGAUUCCCCCCCUAAAUUGCCCCAACUUUCCCCAUCAGUGAUUAGGGACACAGUUAAAAAGAUUUGAUUUUGAGGUCAUAUACGCUUACAGAAGGUUUUGAGUUUGGCAAUAAUAUUUUACACUUACGAGGCUAUUCUCUAAUUCUAAAUUCCGAAAAAGGCUUUGGUUCAAAUUUUCCUGUCUCUUGCUCGAGUCGUUGCUCUCAUAGGCUCGUUUUGCUCUCAGCAAGAAAGGACCAUUAGUGGAAAUGUUGUGGGUUGACAAGUACCACCCUAAAACAUUAGAGAAAGUUAUUGUACACCAGGAUGUUGCUCAAAAUCUUCGUAAACUGGUCUCAGAGGGAGAUUGUCCUCAUCUCCUCUUUUACGGCCCUUCCGGUUCAGGAAAGAAAACUCUCAUUAUGGCACUUCUUAGACAGAUUUUUGGUCCAAGUGCUGACAAGGUUAAGGUUGAGAACAAGAUUUGGAAAGUUGAUGCUGGUUCUCGGACAAUUGAUGUGGAGCUCACAACAUUGUCAAGCACUCACCAUGUGGAAUUAAAUCCAAGUGAUGCCGGAUUUCAGGACAGAUACGUUGUUCAAGAGAUAAUCAAAGAAAUGGCCAAGAAUAGACCAAUUGACACGAAAGGGAAAAAGGGGUUUAAAGUUUUAGUGCUAAAUGAAGUUGACAAGCUCUCAAGAGAAGCACAACAUUCUCUUCGAAGAACAAUGGAGAAGUACAGUGCAUCAUGUCGCCUGAUUCUUUGCUCCAACAGUUCUUCAAAGGUCACUGAAGCAGUUCGCUCACGAUGCCUUAAUGUGCGAAUAAAUGCACCAAUGGAGGAAGAGAUUGUUAGUGUUUUGGAAUUUAUUGCCAAAAAGGAAGGACUUCAAUUUCCACAGGGUUUUACCGCCCGCAUUGUGGAAAAGUCAAAUAGGAAUCUGAGGAGGGCAGUUUUGACAUUUGAGUCUUGCCGUGUUCAACAGUAUCCCUUUACAAACAACCAAACUAUACCUCCAAUGGACUGGGAGCAAUAUGUUUCAGAAAUUGCAUCAGACAUAAUGAAAGAGCAGAGCCCUAAAAGGUUAUUCGAGGUAAGAGGAAAGUUAUAUGAGCUACUAACUAAUUGUAUUCCCCCUGAAAUUAUUUUGAAGAGGCUACUUUUCGAACUAUUAAAGAAAUUGGAUUCAGAGUUGAAGCAUGAGGUGUCCAACUGGGCUGCUCAUUAUGAGCAUAGGAUGCGCCUUGGACAGAAGGCUAUAUUUCAUCUUGAAGUGAGCUGAUCGGAGCAGAAGCCUGGGAGAACAUCACGCGUAAAGAAGCAGUUGGAUUAUUUAUUGUUCAGGUCGAUAAUCCAAGGAAAUGGGCGACUGACGAUGUAUACAAUGUCUUGUGUGAUAAGAAUGUGCCACCAAGGGGUAAAGCAUUUGUGGCCAAAUUCAUGAGCAUCUACAAGAGUUUCCUUAUUUCAACAUUUGGCUAAGAUAGAAGAUCUGAAAAGUAGUAUGGAGCUGUUUGGCAGUAGGAAAAAGUUUUCUUUGUCCGUUGUGCUCAUGUCCUGUCGUGUUUUAAUUUAAUUUGGGCUGUACAAUUGUGCCUAGACAUUACUGUACCAGAAUCAUACUCCACUUAGGAUUGUGCACUGCUAGUAUCUUUGCAAUUGCCAUGUCGCGGUGGGUGCAAGGUAAUGGUACAUGUUGCAGUUAAUUUUUCCCCCAUCUCCCUAGCCCCUUUGAUGAGGAAAGUGAAUGAACUACAAGGAGUAGGUGUAUCAAAUUGUGGGUAUGAGUUUUGGUGGUAAACAAUUCAAUUUGCAGCUUAUUGCUGACUGCUAGACCUAAAGGAAAAACAAGAAAUGACAAUAUUGGGCAUUUGCUAGUUCA